This 251-nucleotide ribosomal RNA is filed under the name uncultured prokaryote. RNAcentral's name for it is "partial 16S rRNA". It matches the Rfam family "Bacterial small subunit ribosomal RNA", at positions 525 to 775 of the family's 1533-position model. The record is from RNAcentral.
ACGAAGGGGGCUAGCGUUGCUCGGAAUCACUGGGCGUAAAGCGCACGUAGGCGGAUCUUUAAGUCAGGGGUGAAAUCCCGAGGCUCAACCUCGGAACUGCCUUUGAUACUGGGGAUCUCGAGUCCGGAAGAGGUUGGUGGAACUCCGAGUGUAGAGGUGAAAUUCGUAGAUAUUCGGAAGAACACCAGUGGCGAAGGCGGCCAACUGGUCCGGUACUGACGCUGAGGUGCGAAAGCGUGGGGAGCAAACAG